This 326-nucleotide unclassified non-coding RNA is filed under the name uncultured Tremellomycetes. RNAcentral's name for it is "sequence contains 5.8S rRNA gene". The stretch from base 1 to 53 matches the Rfam family "5.8S ribosomal RNA", at positions 102 to 154 of the family's 154-position model. The record is from RNAcentral. Lineage: Eukaryota; Fungi; Basidiomycota; Tremellomycetes.
GAACGCAAAUUGCGCUCCUUGGUAUUCCGAGGAGCAUGCCUGUUUGAGUGUCAUGAAAUCAUCCACCCUGACUUUUGGUUAGUUCCAUUGGUCUUGGCUGGGAUUUGGGCGCUUGCCUCUGAUAAAGCGGCUCGCCUUAAAAUGAUUUCGGAUUGACUCUGUCUGCAGUCGGUUUGACUUGGCAUUAUAAGUUAUUUUGCUAAGGACAUCUUCGGAUGGCCGAUCAAUGACAGCUGUCUUGUGCUGCGUGUGUUUUCACACUUCCAGUGCGCUCCAUCUUUUGACAUCUGGCCUCAAAUCAGGUAGGACUACCCGCUGAACUUAAG